UACGGAGGGUGCAAGCGUUAAUCGGAAUUACUGGGCGUAAAGCGCGCGUAGGUUGUUAGUUAAGCGAGAUGUGAAAGCCCCGGGCUUAACCUGGGAAUUGCGUUUCGAACUGGCUGACUAGAGUACGGUAGAGGGUGGUGGAAUUUCAGGUGUAGCGGUGAAAUGCGUAGAGAUCUGAAGGAACAUCAGUGGCGAAGGCGACCACCUGGACUGAUACUGACACUGAGGUG
Molecule: ribosomal RNA, 230 nt
Filed under: uncultured microorganism
Description: partial 16S ribosomal RNA
Rfam family: Bacterial small subunit ribosomal RNA
Source: RNAcentral